UGUUAUUAGUUGCCAGCAUUUAGUUGGGCACUCUAAUGAGACUGCCGGUGAUAAACCGGAGGAAGGUGGGGACGACGUCAGAUCAUCAUGCCCCUUAUGACCUGGGCAACACACGUGCUACAAUGGGAAGUACAACGAGUCGCAAACCGGCGACGGCAAGCUAAUCUCUUAAAACUUCUCUCAGUUCGGACUGGAGUCUGCAACUCGACUCCACGAAGGCGGAAUCGCUAGUAAUCGCGAAUCAGCAUGUCGCGGUGAAUACGUUCCCGGGUCUUGUACACACCGCCCGUCAAAUCAUGGGAGUCGGAAGUACCCAAAGUCGCUUGGCUAACUUUUAGAGGCCGGUGCCUAAGGUAAAAUCGAUGACUGGGAUUAAGUCGUAAGAAGAUGGCCGUAGGAGAACCAGAGGCUGGAUCACCUCCUUUCU
RNAcentral lists this ribosomal RNA (427 nucleotides) under Oenococcus oeni. Its description in RNAcentral is "bacterial SSU rRNA". It matches the Rfam family "Bacterial small subunit ribosomal RNA", at positions 1106 to 1533 of the family's 1533-position model. The record is from RNAcentral. Lineage: Bacteria; Bacillati; Bacillota; Bacilli; Lactobacillales; Lactobacillaceae.